UGGGGAAUAUUGCACAAUGGGCGCAAGCCUGAUGCAGCCAUGCCGCGUGUAUGAAGAAGGCCUUCGGGUUGUAUAGUACUUUCAGCGGGGAGGAAGGUGUUGAGGCUAAUAACCUCAGCAAUUGACGUUACCCGCAGAAGAAGCACCGGCUAACUCCGUGCCAGCAGCCGCGGUAAUACGGAGGGUGCAAGCGUUAAUCGGAAUUACUGGGCGUAAAGCGCACGCAGGCGGUCUGUCAAGUCGGAUGUGAAAUCCCCGGGCUCAACCUGGGAACUGCAUUCGAAACUGGCAGGCUAGAGUCUUGUAGAGGGGGGUAGAAUUCCAGGUGUAGCGGUGAAAUGCGUAGAGAUCUGGAGGAAUACCGGUGGCGAAGGCGGCCCCCUGGACAAAGACUGACGCUCAGGUGCGAAAGCGUGGGGAGCAAACA
This 427-nucleotide ribosomal RNA is filed under the name uncultured bacterium. RNAcentral's name for it is "partial 16S ribosomal RNA". It matches the Rfam family "Bacterial small subunit ribosomal RNA", at positions 355 to 774 of the family's 1533-position model. The record is from RNAcentral.